AUGGCGUCGUCUUCCUCCUCUAGUCUGCCUUCCAAUCCCUUUAGCCAGCAAGUCACCGAGCGCCUCACCAGGGAAAAUUUUCUUCUCUGGAAAGCCCAAGUUCCUCCCCAAAUUAGAGGCGCUCGCCUGUUUGGUUACAUGGACGGCACCACCGUCGCACCCUUGGAAUUCAUCGAGGUCCAGAAGGCUGACAAGAGCGGCCUGGAGCAAGUAGCCAAUCCCCUGUAUGAUCUAUGGGUCUAUCAAGAUCAACAGGUGUUGGCGUAUGUGAUGGGAUCUCUCUCACGGGAGGUCCUGGCGUAG
This 303-nucleotide ribosomal RNA is filed under the name Triticum aestivum (bread wheat). Its description in RNAcentral is "partial small subunit ribosomal RNA". Lineage: Eukaryota; Viridiplantae; Streptophyta; Magnoliopsida; Poales; Poaceae. The record is from RNAcentral.